This is a long non-coding RNA of Alligator sinensis (Chinese alligator), 4208 nucleotides long. RefSeq lists it as uncharacterized. The transcript is spliced from 5 exons. The record is from RefSeq and is a predicted model, not a curated record. NCBI's taxonomy places the organism in Eukaryota, Metazoa, Chordata, Crocodylia, Alligatoridae.
UCUCUCUGGACUGUCCCAGCCCAUGACAUACCCUUUGCUUCCAGUAACUGAGUGGUCAUCUUUUGCUGAGCAAAGUAACAUCUUGGACUGGAUGAUAGGAUCCAGGGGUAGUAGGACCCAGGGGAAGACGGCAGAAGUCAGAAGAAAGGCCAGCCCAGCUGCUUUCCCUGCAUGCGCAGGCCCCCCACUGCAUUGCUGGACUGCAGGAGCACAGGGACUAAGGCUGGCUAUAAGGAUGGACAAUAGUGGCACACAGACCAAUUCCCAGAUGGGUUCCACUUCAUGGACAAGUAGUAUAGUGUGGAGUUUUGACAAGGGCUGCAGAUUAAGCUCCUGCAACUGGCAGCAAAACUGUGCUAUAUGAAGCAAAGACUCUGCAAAGAAAGAAGUUUAAAGAUCAUCUAUCAAAGCAACAGAGAAAGCACUGAUGCAAUUACUUUUAACUCAACAGAAAAACCAAGCCAAGGUUUCUAUGGCUAGACAUAUGGAUAAGUCAGGUGGCAUAUGCUGCAGUAAUAUUCUCCAAACAAAUUCUUGCAGUCUUCACAACUUUGUUGAGCCUACAAGUAAACAUGCAAAUAAUAAAAACUCUAAACAUUAGGCUGAGAAUUGAAUUAUUUUAGUUCUGUCCAGUACUGAGCUGCUUUCACUGCAAGUGAACUGGUGAGUACGGACUAUUAUCCCACAUGACCAAUCCUACACUUUGAGGAUUUUACAUGGUUUUGCAACCUGCCUCACCAUUGUCCACAGAAAAGAUACUCGUAUAGAGGCUCAGAGUCUAGACAAUCAGUAUUAAAAUAAGUCUGUAUUUAGACCUGCUACAUACAGUUUGGGAACUAGUCUUUUAACUCUAACUCACAGUACAUCCCCUCGAAAAGUACGUAAGGUUUGCCGUGCCUGGUCAGGCAAUUGAGCUUUGAGUGGGCACAAGACAGGAGGUCACAUGUCUGAGUCCACACUUCCCCUCCUGUUUUCUUACUAGUGUGCUUACACUGCUCCAGAAGUGCAAGCAGCAGAAGAACAAAGACAAAACCUGGUUUUAGCAUCUACUGUGAUUUUGCAAAGCACCCAUCCCCAUGGUAUUAGGUGAGAGCUCUAUACUCAAGAACACAUGAAGUGCUUGGAAGCUACAGAAGAGACACAAAGGUCUCACCCACAUUAUAAAUACAAGAACCAAUGGACUUAGGCUGAAUGCACACACAAAUUGUGACCCACCAGUGUGGGACCUAAGCCCUAAGCACAGUCUCCCUACGCAAUGAAUGGGGGGGAAUUCUGUACCUCAGAAUGGAAGUCAACCACUAACAUUUUUUGGCAGGGAACCAUCUAAGCUAGCUGAGCAUAGGACCACAUCAAACUCUGCCUUUCUGGGGCCAUGGCAUGUUAUUCCAUGCUACAGUGAAGCGCCUUCCUCCAAUUUGGAAUCCAUAGCUCAGAACUCCUCUGAAGGCAACUACCCAAGUUCUCUCUUUUAAAACCCUAAACCUAAAUCCCCUUCUCUCUUUCAAGACACAGGAGGUAGGAAGGACAUUUGUUCUCCUUUUACCUAAUAACUUGACGGUUAGGUCACUCAACCAAGAUGUAGGAGACCUAAAUUCAAAUUUCUUCUGCUAAGAACAUUCAAAUCAAAUCUCUCCCCACUAUCUCUCAGGCCAGUACUCUAGUCACCAGGCUGCAGACUAGGCUGGGGUAAGGGCAUUCUCCAUCCCUCUUGCAGAUCUAAUUUAAAAAUACUGAGUGGAUAGGGAAGAAGGAAGUCAAAAUUAUUAUAUUUAAUAAAUGGUAGAGAGAAGGGGGGAGGCAGGGUUCCCAUUCCAAUGACUAUUACAGCAUUUUAUACAGCAGGGCUGUCCAACUGGUGGCCCACAUAAUCCCUCAUGGGCUGCAUGGGGUAAGCCAAGACCCAACAGUUCUGCCCAACUGCAACUGCAGUUGAAAACUACUGGCUCUCCUACCCUCCUCCAUCAGUUGCUUCUUGCUGCUCUCCCAAAGAAUGGGGCAGUGCAGUGCUAUGCAGGAAACAGAAUGUGAGGCCGGGACCACAGACACACAGGCUACCUUACAGACAUUUGGAAAAAAAAAACAAAAACCCAAAAGGUGCUCUUUUUAAACUCAGCAUUUUCCAAUGCCAAGCCCCAUGCACACCUGGAAGAGGCAUUGCCUUAGCUGGACCUGGCUUGCCCAACAUUUGUAUAGAUCAGGCAAUUUAGUGGGCCUUUUUUUGGCACUUUUAUCUAAUAGUUGACUGAAUCAGCUUUUGAUAAAAGCACCAAAAAGUCCCACUGAAGCACCCAAUCUAUACAGACGCUGCAGAGCCGGGUUGACGUAACAUGCUACUUCUCCAGUAAAGCACAGAUUUUUGUUUUUGUUUUUAACAUCUGCAAGCAGCCGUGGUGCAAUGGGUGGGGGGAGUGCCCAUAUGGGUGUGCUGUGCACUAGGGCAUCUACACAACAUAUGACCCAGAAGGCCUGUAGCUCACCCUGGUGCAGCCCCCAGAGUAUGAGUUCUGCUGGUGCUUUCUGAUCACAAAGGAAAAGCUUCAAGAAGGGGAAGUGACAGUGCUCCCAUGCCAGAACUUCUUACUGCCUGGUGUUCACAUCACUCUCCUGGGAGGUGUUAGUUUGAAUCCUCUCUCUCAGAGGAGGAAAAUGCAUGCAGGUCUCCAACUUACUGGGCACAUGCUUUAACUAUUUGUUUUAGAAAGGAGAUGAAGAGGGGAGAACAAACAUCACCACUUACUGUUGCAGCCAUCAUUUGAAAGAAAACAGAAGUAGGCAUCAUAGGUUAAGCCACUUGGGGAACUCAGACAGGAAAAUGCCUAGUUUGUGGAUGGUGAUGGAGUUAAGCAAUAGUUAGAUGCCUGGCUGUUCAGCAAGUAUCAGGUACAGAAGGUUAUGCGUGUACCCCAAAACAAAAGUUAGGCACUAGGGGAAUUCAAGCCCUAAAACCUGAGAUAUUUCCAAACACUGGAUAACUAAGAGCCAGUCAGCAGCCAACUGAGGAUAUGGAAAAAUCCUGGUUUUAGACUUGGGCUCGUUAGAUCUCUCCAGAUCUAGACCCUGGUUAUAGCAGUUUCAGCCCAUGAUUCAACAUCAGGAAAUUUUUCUUCACUGUUAAAACAGUGAGAGAGGAAAUGACUGCCUGAACAAGUUGUGGAAUCUCCUUCACUGGAGGUUUUCAAGAGAUUGUAUAAAAUACUGGACAUGGAUAACCCAGGAGUAGUAAUGCCUACAGUGAGAUGUGAAGAGCAACUAUUGAAAGGCAAGAAGACCCCCACCACUUUCAGAUCACAAGAAGAGCUCUGAAGCCCAGAGCCAGUAGAAACUGAAAAGGACUAUGCUUGGCAGCAGGAAAAUAAAGCAGAGCUUCACAGCUAGCUAGAUUAUGAAACGAACUAAAGAGCAGGAACAAAUUUAUGGAGGGGAUAGGAUGACAGAGAAGGAAGAUCUGGCUCUCCAGUUACAGUGUGUGGAGCUGUUAAUUUUGUUGGUGGUUUGGUCUGUUAGUUUUAUUUUGGGGGUGGGGAGGAGGGGCAGAGGAUAUUAUGCCUGUAGUUGUGCAAGAGGACAGUUCAUGCAAUUUUAAGAGGUUAGAUGCACACUUAUCUAGGAUGGCUUAGAUCAGCAAUUCUCAGCCACAGUAUCAUGGGGUGCCUUAAGAUCCUUUCAGGGGUGCCAUGCAAUGUUAGCACUGUUAGGUGGGCAAACAAGACAAACCCAGAGAUUUCAAAUAGGACUCCACAGUGCUAAAAGCACUCCAAUCUGUUGGGGUCGUCCCGAGUUGUUUGCAACAGAAGAAUUGCUCUUAUCCUUUUUCUGUAGUCAAAAAUUAAAAAGCAGAAUGAAGCGCUGGAGGUUUCCAAGGGGUGCCUUGAGUCUAAGAAGGUUGUGAACCACUGGUUUAGAGGUGAUCCUGCUGUGAACCGUAGGCAGGACUAGACGUGCUCUCGAGGUGACUGCCAGCUCUACUCUCCUAGUUUUAUCAUGCGUGCAGCAAAGUGUGUACACAACCUGGACCAGGGGCUCCGAGCAACUGCCUCGCUUGCUAACAGGACGGGUGUGGCACAUGAGGUCUGAAACUUCUACUGACAGCACCCCCACCUGCCCCCUCCCCACCUUGCCGGGCGAAGCCACGUUAAAGCACCCCACUCUCCCCAGGCCGUCGGGACCUUCGAGGAAGCCUGCGCUUGAGGCGGAGGACGAGGCCCGUG